Molecule: ribosomal RNA, 299 nt
Filed under: uncultured soil bacterium
Lineage: Bacteria
Description: partial 16S ribosomal RNA
Rfam family: Bacterial small subunit ribosomal RNA
Source: RNAcentral
AGAAUCAACGCUGGCGGCGUGCCUCAGACAUGCAAGUCGAACGAUUAAACUUUCCUUCGGGAAAGAUAUAAAGUGGCGCACGGGUGAGUAACACGUAAGUAAUCUACCUUUGAGUGGGGAAUAACAGUCGGAAACGGCUAGCUAAUACCGCAUAAUGCAGCGGCAUCGCAAGAUGACAGUUGUUAAAGGAGCAAUCCGACUUAAAGAGGAGCUUGCGGCAGAUUAGCUAGUUGGUAAGGUAAUGGCUUAACCGAAGGCUACGAUCGUACGUAACCGGUACUAAGGAGGACGGGUCGUAC